Molecule: ribosomal RNA, 3720 nt
Filed under: Candidatus Saccharimonadota bacterium
Lineage: Bacteria; Candidatus Saccharimonadota
Description: Candidatus Saccharibacteria bacterium 23S ribosomal RNA
Rfam family: Bacterial large subunit ribosomal RNA
Source: RNAcentral
UAAAAAGUUACUCAAGCGCACACAAAGGAUGCCUUGACAUGUAAUACCGAAGAAGGACGUGAUGAGCUGCGAAAAGCUCCGGGGAACAGCCAAAUAUGUUUUGAUCCGGAGAUGUCCGAAUGGGGAAACCCGGCUGGAGUAAUGUCCAGUCACCGCUAUCUGAAUAUAUAGGAUAGUGAGUAGGUAACCGCCUGAACUGAAACAUCUUAGUAGGGCGAGGAAGAGAAAGUAAACAACGAUUCCGGUAGUAGUGGCGAGCGAAUCCGGAACAGCCCAAACCUAUUUUGCUUUUGCCUGGUAAUUUAUUACUGGCAAAUAAGUUGGUAGACGAAUGUAAAUUACGGGGUUGUGACAUUGCAAACAUCCUUGUGUGGGAGUCCGCUUCGGCGGGAGUCCACACGAGGCAGCUAGAUCUACCAGUGUCUAGCAUAAGGUCAGAAAUUGAUGAGGCGAGCAGAAGCAACUGGAAAGUUGCGCCAUAGACGGUGAUAGCCCGGUACGCCAAGUUUCAUCAACCUUAUAUUUGCAAACUUGCGUGGGACGCAAGAUUUAGCAGACAAACAAAUAGCAUUUAGCAGAAAUUGAGCAGCUAUCAGGUUGCAGACGAAAACAUCUGAAACCUGAAAAAUGUUAAAUUCUGUCAUCCGCGAUUUGGUGCCUGAUAAAUCUCGCGUUUUACGCGAGUCUUAGUGUCGAGUAGGUCGGGGCACGUGAAAUCCUGACUGAAUCUGGGGGGUCCACCCUCCAAGGCUAAAUAUAUUACAUGAUCGAUAGAGAACAAGUACCGCGAGGGAAAGGUUAAAAGAACCCCGGGAGGGGAGUGAAAUAGAACCUGAAAUUGUGUGCGUACAAGGAGUCGGAGUCCCGCCUUUGGCGGGAUGACGGCGUGCUUUUUGUAGAACGAUCCAACGAGUUAUUUGCUACGGCAAGCUUAAGUCAUAUGACGUAAGCUAAGCGAAAGCGAGUCUGAAUAGGGCAUUCAGUCGUAGUAAAUAGACCCGAAACCAGGUGACCUAACCAUGGGCAGGUUGAAGCGUCGGUAAAACGACGUGGAGGACCGAACCGUAGCGAGUUGCAACACGCCCGGAUGACCUGUGGUUAGCGGUGAAAUGCCAAUCGAACCUGGAGAUAGCUGGUUCUCCUCGAAAUAGCUUUAGGGCUAGCGUUGUACGGUAGCUGAUAGGGGUAGAGCUCUGUUUCGGACUGGGGGUCGUAAGAUUACCCACCCUUGACAAACUACGAAUACUAUCAGUGGAACUACAGCAGUCAGAACGGCGGGGCUAAGCUCGUCGCUCGAAAGGGAAACAGCCCAGAUCACCAUCUAAGGUCCCCAAGUCUAUGCUAAGUGGGAAACGAGGUGGGGUUUCUUAAACAACUAGGAUGUUGGCUUAGAAGCAGCCAUUCAUUUAAAGAGUGCGUAACAGCUCACUAGUCAAGAGGCCCUGCGCGGAAAAUGUAACGGGGCUAAGCAUAGCACCGAAGAUGUGAACUUGUGCAUAGCACAAGAUUUAGCAGAAAAACAGGUAGCAUGUUUCAGAAAUUUUUCAGGUAUCAGGUUACAGACGAGCCGUCUGCCACCUGCCAAAUGCAAAAUUUCUGUUAUCUGCGACUUGUGACCUGAUAAAUCAUGCGCUAUGCAUGAGUGGUAGAGGAGCGUUCCUCUCAGCGUUGAAGUUGAACCGUGAGGUUUGGUGGAGCGUGAGGAAGUGAGAAUGUUGGAAUGAGUAACCAUAAGGCAGGUGAGAAUCCUGCCCACCGAAAGAGCAAGGUUUCCUGGGCCACGGUAAUCGUCCCAGGGUUAGUCGGUCCUAAGCCGAGGCGCGUAGCGUAGGCGAUGGACAACGGGUUAAUAUUCCCGUACUGGCAUGUAUUUGUUAUAUGUGCGCGGCAUAGUAGUAGGAGCGGAUUCAUGGUUAUAUCCGUCUAAGUGCGAGAAAAGCGUACGAAUGAAACGACCAUCAGGUUGAAUUUCGAUGAAAGUGCUGACUAGAAAAGCAAUAUAACGCGUGGUACAUGCCACCCGUACCGCAAACCGACACAGGUGCUCAGGUCGAGAAGACCAAGGUGUACGAGUGAUUCUUCGUUAAGGAACUCGGCAAACAAGCGACCGUAACUUCGGGAUAAGGUCUGCCCCCUCACUCUGUCUAUGACAGGUGAGUAUGCCAGUUUUCUUUUUGAAAACCUGGCGUGAAUGUAAGUUUAUAACUUCUUAUGUUCACGACAAAUCGAACAAUUUUUGAGACAUAUCAGAAAGAAAGCUGUCCCAAACACACUAGAUGCGUUAUUGCUGCAAACUGUUCCCGAAAGGGAAAUGAGCAGCCGGAGCAACGAAUUUAUUUCGGUGCACCGCGCGAUGAGAAAAACCGUAGGUUUUAUCUCAUUCACAGCUAGAGUGAGGGGGCCGCAGCUAAAGAACCCAUGCAACUGUUUACCAAAAACACAGGUCUGUGCUAACACGAAAGUGGAUGUAUACGGGUUGACGCCUGCCCGGUGCUGGAAGGUUAAGGGGAGUUGUGUAUGCAGCGAACUGAAGCCCCAGUGAACGGCGGCGGUAACUAUAACCGUCCUAAGGUAGCGAAAUUCCUUGUCAGGUAAGUUCUGACCCGCACGAAUGGCGUAAUGAUAUGGGUACUGUCUCAACGAAGAGCUCGGUGAAAGUGCAUUGACGGUAAAGAUGCCGUCUGUCCGCAGCAGGACGAAAAGACCCCGUGCAGCUUUACUAUAGCUUGACAUUGAGCCGGGUUAUAACAUGUGUAGUAUAGGUGAGAGACUUUGAAGCCCAGACGCUAGUCUAGGUGGAGUCACCAGUGAAAUAUCACCCUUGUUAUGAUCUUGUUCUUUACGGGGCCCUCAAUUUGCGGAGCAAAUGGAGGGCAUUGAUCAUUUUUCAUUGAUAAUUUACCAUUAAUUCUUCAUUGUACAUGUUUCAAUUAUGCAUUUUAGAGUGCCAAAUGAGACAUGCUACCUGAUCAAUUAAUGCAAAAUGUCCAAUGGUAAUGGUAAUGACCUCUGAAUUUGAUCCUCAAAUUCAGGGUCCCGGACCGUGUCUGGUGGGUAGUUUAACUGGGGCGGUUGCCUCCUAAAGAGUAUCGGAGGCGUUCAAAGGUUAGCUAACUACGGAUGGAAAUCGUAGUGAUAGUGUAUACGCAUAAGCUAGCUUGACUGUGAGGCCUACAAGCCGAGCAGGGACGAAAGUCGGAGUAAGUUUUCCGCUGUCAGUACAUUUGUACAAGAGUGUGGUAUCGGCAGCGCUUUCGGAUAAAAGUUACGCCGGGGAUAACAGGCUUAUAGCAUCCAAUAGUUCACAUAGACGAUGCUGUUUGGCACCUCGAUGUCGGCUCAUCUCAUCCUGGGGCUGGAGCAGGUCCCAAGGGUCCGGCUGUUCGCCGGUUAAAGAGGUACGUGAGCUGGGUUCAGAACGUCGUGAGACAGUUCGGUUUAUAUCCGCUGUGGACGCAAGGAAAUUUGAGAGGAUCUACCCCUAGUACGAGAGGACCGGGGCGGACGCACCGCUGGUGUAUCAGUUGUUCUACCAAGGGCAUUGCUGAGUAGCUAUCGUGCGGAAUAGAUAAGCGCUGAAAGCAUAUUAAGCGCGAAACUAGCCUCAAGAUUAGAUUUCCCUAUGAUCCCCCAGAAAGACUAUCUGGUUGAUAGGCGCAAGGUGUACGCACAGCAAUGUGUUUAGCCGAAGCGUACUAAUAGGGACAUUGACUUUUUACG